Molecule: ribosomal RNA, 806 nt
Filed under: Pseudarthrobacter siccitolerans
Lineage: Bacteria; Bacillati; Actinomycetota; Actinomycetes; Micrococcales; Micrococcaceae
Description: bacterial SSU rRNA
Rfam family: Bacterial small subunit ribosomal RNA
Source: RNAcentral
CUUGCAGCGGGGAUUAGUGGCGAACGGGUGAGUAACACGUGAGUAACCUGCCCUUAACUCUGGGAUAAGCCUGGGAAACUGGGUCUAAUACCGGAUAUGACUGAUCAUCGCAUGGUGGUUGGUGGAAAGCUUUUUGUGGUUUUGGAUGGACUCGCGGCCUAUCAGCUUGUUGGUGAGGUAAUGGCUUACCAAGGCGACGACGGGUAGCCGGCCUGAGAGGGUGACCGGCCACACUGGGACUGAGACACGGCCCAGACUCCUACGGGAGGCAGCAGUGGGGAAUAUUGCACAAUGGGCGCAAGCCUGAUGCAGCGACGCCGCGUGAGGGAUGACGGCCUUCGGGUUGUAAACCUCUUUCAGUAGGGAAGAAGCGAAAGUGACGGUACCUGCAGAAGAAGCGCCGGCUAACUACGUGCCAGCAGCCGCGGUAAUACGUAGGGCGCAAGCGUUAUCCGGAAUUAUUGGGCGUAAAGAGCUCGUAGGCGGUUUGUCGCGUCUGCCGUGAAAGUCCGGGGCUCAACUCCGGAUCUGCGGUGGGUACGGGCAGACUAGAGUGAUGUAGGGGAGACUGGAAUUCCUGGUGUAGCGGUGAAAUGCGCAGAUAUCAGAGGAACACCGAUGGCGAAGGCAGGUCUCUGGGCAUUAACUGACGCUGAGGAGCGAAAGCAUGGGGAGCGAACAGGAUUAGAUACCCUGGGUAGUCCAUGCCCGUAAACGUUUGGCACUAGGUGUGGGGGACAUUCCACGUUUUCCGCGCCGUAGCUAACGCAUUAAGUGCCCCGCUGGGGAGUACGCGCAAGCUAAAA